This 1546-nucleotide long non-coding RNA is filed under the name Solanum lycopersicum (tomato). RNAcentral's name for it is "long non-coding RNA (SLYC_LNC001312)". Lineage: Eukaryota; Viridiplantae; Streptophyta; Magnoliopsida; Solanales; Solanaceae. The record is from RNAcentral.
AUAUAUAUAUAUAUAUAUAUAUAUAUAUAUAUAUAUAUAUAUAUAUAUACAUUCAAAUAAACAAAUAAAUCUUUCUUCAAUCAAUCUUCAACUUGAACUUCAAGUUUGAAACCUGUCAAAAUAAUCAAAUAACGGUUAAGCAAAACAAAUUGAUUCACCUUUUACUCGAACGAAGUAGCAAAAUAGCAAAGAAAACUUGAAUAUUUAUCGGAAUAUUAAUGUGUUGUUAAAGUAGCAAGAGAGCAAUGAGAGAAGAGAGAGUGAUGAGAGAAAUUUUUUGAUUGAGAGUGAAUGGGUCUGAAUGAAUAAAAGGAGUCUCUUUAUAUAGUAAAGGAGGGGGAACAAAUAAAGGAAAUAAAUAUUUAAAGGAAUCAAUUAUAAUACUAUUUUCCUUAUUUCAAAGGAGAGCCAAAAUCAGAAAAUAUUACAAUAUUUCAUUACCAAAUAUAAACAAGUAAGAAUAAAUUAAUAAAUUUAAAAAUAAGAAAAUCAAUUAAUUAAAUAUCACUUUUCUAAAAAUAUAACAACUAAGAAUAUAUUUGAAGUCAAUCAAGGUAAAAUAAAAUAAUCAAUUAAAAUGACAAUAAUAUUUUAAAAGAUAUAAGAAAUCUGCAACUACUAUUGAAAAUUACAAGACUUACCAUAACAAAUAAUAAUCAAAGUGAAACCAAUAUACACUUAGCAUGUCAAUACCCAAAUCACAUUUAGCAGACUUACAGGAACUUAUUAUCAUACAAUAUUGUUUUCAACAUGGCUAAAACACAUGUACUUUGCAAAUUUUCAAAAGAAAAAUCAACAAGAACAGCCCAUAAGAUCAAGCAAAUCACAAUAUAUUUUCAUAUUCAUAACAAAAUAUUUCUGAAAACACGCAGAACAUUAGGAAAAUUAAACAUCUAAAUGAAUAAUAAUAAAAAAAAACUAAAACAGAAACUAACCCAGACGGAUCUGUCGAGAUCCAUCUCAAACAAAAGCUCCAGCACUUCAUGUGAUGUUGCUGACUGCCGUUGUUGUCGCCCUGUGUUGCUGGCCGGAGCAGCUAUUGCUGUCUCGCUAGGCUGUUGCUGCGUGGUGGCUGUCGCCGGCCUGCAAAAGAAGAAGGAGAAGAGAAGAGGGGCGAGAGGGAGAAGAGAAGAGGGGUAAACGGAGGGAGAAAGAAGGGAAGAAAAGGGAAAGGUACAUCGCUGGUCAGAGUUCCACUGGAGGAUGGCGGCGUCGGCUGCUGGUUGUUGUUGCUGGAGGGUCGUUGCUCGCCUGAGAAGAGGAUAGACGGACGGCCGCCGGGGCUGCUGGCUGGCGCAGGGGUUCUCGCCGGCGACUGGUGGCUGUUGCUGUCACCUGGCAUCUCGCUGGUGGAGCUGCUGGUUGGUGUCGCCUUCCUGCUUGCUUCGCCAGCUGGAGAGAAGGGCGAAUAGAGAGGGAGAGAACGGGAAGAGGAAGAAGGGGCGAAGAGAGAGAGAGAGAGAGAGGAGAGGCGGCUUCCGUCCGGCUGUCUCCUCGCCGGAAAAAAUUGGAGAGGAGAGGGGGGGUUGCGGCGGCUGGUGAGGGG